GCCAGCAUGGUGUAGUGGUUUGAGUGUUGGACUAUGACUCUGGAGACCAGGGUUUGAUUCCCUGAUCAGCCA
RNAcentral lists this transfer RNA (72 nucleotides) under Phrynosoma platyrhinos (Desert horned lizard). RNAcentral's name for it is "tRNA-OTHER". Lineage: Eukaryota; Metazoa; Chordata; Lepidosauria; Squamata; Phrynosomatidae. The record is from RNAcentral.